ACUUGGACCUAGCAGCAUCAAUGAGCCAGCUCCUCACUGGGGAACAUGCAAACCCCCAGCUGCUGGUGUGCAGGAAAAGAAUCCAGGAGAUCACCUGAUGAAGCCCAGCAUUUUACAGAUAGGCAGUGGAGCAGGGGAAUCCAGUUGACACUGUGGCUAAAUUUCAGAAAACCUCCCAUGAGAUCUUGCAAAGGAGAUGGAGAAAAUAUGGCUGAAUGCCAGCAAGGUAGGACGGAAGCAUGACUGCUCUAACAACCAAGCUCAAAGAGCACUGCUCACCCAAUGUUUCCUUCAUGACUAGAGCAAAGUGGUGAAAGGACCCUGGUGAGAGGCCCAAAGAACAGGAGGUGUGAGCCAAGAGAAGGUCCUGCCAGGCCUAUGUUGCAGGCUAUUUGGAGGCUGAACUUGAGGUUGACGCAGAAUUAACUGUUGCAUGAGAUGUGGGGUAUGAGAGAAGGCCUGAGUACCUAGAAGGAUUGGGAUGCCAUGAACUGACAGAGGUUGUGUAAUAGUGUGAUAUAAUAAGAAAUACAUGGUGGGCAUGGUGGCUCAAGCCUGUAAUCCCAGCACCUUGGCCACCACUGCAGGACCAUUGCUUGAGUUCAGGAGUUUGAGACCAACCUGGACAAUAUAGUGAGACCUCACCUCAAAAAAAAAAAAAGAAGAAGAAGAGGAAAUACAUAUUUGAUCUCUGCCCCUGGUUCUUGAGACAGAGCUC
RNAcentral lists this long non-coding RNA (718 nucleotides) under Homo sapiens (human). RNAcentral's name for it is "non-protein coding SH3TC2-DT:43". Lineage: Eukaryota; Metazoa; Chordata; Mammalia; Primates; Hominidae. The record is from RNAcentral.